UCGAGAAUCUUCGGCAAUGGGCGAAAGCCUGACCGAGCGACGCCGCGUGGAGGAAGAAGGCCUUCGGGUUGUAAACUCCUGUUGGGGGGGAGCAAAUCAAUGAGCGACCCCCUGAGGAAGCACGGGCUAAGUUCGUGCCAGCAGCCGCGGUAAGACGAACCGUGCGAACGUUAUUCGGAAUCAUUGGGCUUAAAGGGCGCGUAGGCGGCGGCGUAAGUUCGUGGUGAAAUCCCAUCGGCUCAACCGUGGAAUCGCUUCGAAUACUGCGUCGCUCGAGUGGGAUAGGGGACCGCAGAACUGCCGGUGGAGCGGUGAAAUGUGUUGAUAUCGGCGGGAAUGCCAGUGCCGAAAGGGGCGGUCUGGACCCUCACUGACGCUGAGGCGCGAAAGCUAGGGGAGCAAACGGGAUUAGAUACCCCCGUAGUCC
Molecule: ribosomal RNA, 427 nt
Filed under: uncultured bacterium
Lineage: Bacteria
Description: bacterial SSU rRNA
Rfam family: Bacterial small subunit ribosomal RNA
Source: RNAcentral